CUUUCUCUUAAAGGUGACUUCAGCUUCCCAAAAAUGAAAGUGCUGUCACCUGAAAUGUCUGCUCCAUGGUCACAUAAGUGGGAUAACCAGCAAUCAACAGUCAUGGCCAUCAUCAUCAGGCAGUAAUCAUGUGCAACAGCCAAUGGAGUAUUCAGAAUACACCUAUGUGCUUAUGCUGCUCAAGGACAGCAGAUUCCUUUCAUUUUCAUCUACAAUGGAACACUUCAGUACAAUGGGCUGUGAAGACAAUUUUUGAUGCUGACUCCUCUGCAUUCUGGCUUCAUUUGUGGAGGUACACAAGCAGCCACAAUAACAGCCUCAAACAUGACUUUCAAAACACACUGCUUCUGUACUUCAAAAGAGAUAUGUCCUCAUUUCUUUCUCAUAUGCCUUUUGUCAAGCCUUUUAUUCUUCACAAAGAAAUACAGAGCUGACCUGAAUAAAACCACUUUUUUUUUUUGACA
RNAcentral lists this long non-coding RNA (464 nucleotides) under Cyanistes caeruleus (blue tit). Its description in RNAcentral is "lncRNA (ENSCCEG00000010680.1)". The record is from RNAcentral. Lineage: Eukaryota; Metazoa; Chordata; Aves; Passeriformes; Paridae.